RNAcentral lists this long non-coding RNA (285 nucleotides) under Oryza sativa Indica Group (long-grained rice). Its description in RNAcentral is "lncRNA OsPr106_08g0012550". The record is from RNAcentral. Lineage: Eukaryota; Viridiplantae; Streptophyta; Magnoliopsida; Poales; Poaceae.
CACGGUUCCUCUAGUGGGCCCCACCUAACCUCCCCCCGUCGACCGUUCGGGCCCGGACCAAUCGAGCGCAGCAGCAAAAGCGCAAGAAAAAAGAGAGAGGGAAGGAUUACUCGAGAAGGAAAAAAAAUAAAUAAAAACCGUCUCCUUGCGCCUCCGCCCCCUACUCCGGCGAGCCGAGCCGCCGUCCGCCGCCGCCGCAUCGCGAGUCCUUCCCUCGUCGGGCAGUCGCCUGCCCCAGUUGGUAUCUGUCCUACUGUGUCAUGGGCUUUGGGCCAGGCGUCCUAG